UUCAAACGUCAUUGCAUUAUUUCUUCCGGCUGGGAAAACUGGUUCGUAUUCUCUGAUUCAUUCGUAUGUUGAGUUUUCUGGCCGUCUUUUGUAUGUUUACCACACACAACAGGAAAUUACUACCGAGAGAAAACAAUGAUAUUUUACCUCUUCAUUUUGGCCGGUUUGGAACACCAGAAGAAUUAGAAGCGUACAGAUUGCGUCCGGUUCGGACUACUACAAGACCGUGGUUUCUGAACAGAGUUCCAAUUCCUCGGAUAUUAAGAACUCAUCACAAUCCACGAAAAAAAUUUAUAAAGGCCAAAAGAAAACGUCCGCGAACAUGGAACCCGGGCUUACCUCCUGCGCCGUUUAUUCCAGCCAUCAACCACGUCGAUCUGUUAAUAAAUCCAGUUUACGCCCCCUACAGAAGACGGCCCUUAGAAUUUCCUUUACCUGAUAACGGAAUAGGUCGACGAAGGCACCAGCCUCAGAGAACAGGGCUUCCUGCUUUUCCAGAAGACGAGGGUGGCUAAAUUUAUGAUCAAUACGCAAAAGGAUUAAACCAAUAAGUGUUUUAGGGGCUAAACCAAUCAGUGUUCACGUUUUU
This is a long non-coding RNA of Patella vulgata (common limpet), 589 nucleotides long. RefSeq lists it as uncharacterized. The record is from RefSeq and is a predicted model, not a curated record. The transcript is spliced from 3 exons. Lineage: Eukaryota; Metazoa; Mollusca; Gastropoda; Patellidae.